Molecule: ribosomal RNA, 397 nt
Filed under: uncultured bacterium
Lineage: Bacteria
Description: partial 16S ribosomal RNA
Rfam family: Bacterial small subunit ribosomal RNA
Source: RNAcentral
AUACGUAUGGUGCAAGCGUUAUCCGGAUUUACUGGGUGUAAAGGGUGCGUAGGUGGUAGUGCAAGUCAGAAGUGAAAACUAUGGGCUCAACCCAUAGACUGCUUCUGAUACUGUUCAACUAGAGUGCAGGAGAGGAAAGUGGAAUUCCUAGUGUAGCGGUGAAAUGCGUAGAUAUUAGGAGGAACACCAGUGGCGAAGGCGGCUUUCUGGACUGCAACUGACACUGAGGAACGAAAGCGUGGGGAGCAAACAGGAUUAGAUACCCGGGUAGUCCACGCCGUAAACGAUGAAUACUAGGUGUUGGGAGACAAUAGUUUCUCGGUGCCGCAGCAAACGCAAUAAGUAUUCCACCUGGGGAGUACGUUCGCAAGAAUGAAACUUAAAGGAAUUGACGGGG